Molecule: ribosomal RNA, 415 nt
Filed under: uncultured Flavobacteriia bacterium
Lineage: Bacteria; Pseudomonadati; Bacteroidota; Flavobacteriia
Description: bacterial SSU rRNA
Rfam family: Bacterial small subunit ribosomal RNA
Source: RNAcentral
GAAUAAGGAUCGGCUAACUCCGUGCCAGCAGCCGCGGUAAUACGGAGGAUCCAAGCGUUAUCCGGAUUUAUUGGGUUUAAAGGGUCCGCAGGCGGAAUAUUAAGUCAGUGGUGAAAUCCUACAGCUUAACUGUAGAACUGCCAUUGAUACUGAUUUUCUUGAGUACACCUGAAGUGGGCGGAAUGUGUCAUGUAGCGGUGAAAUGCUUAGAUAUGACACAGAACACCGAUUGCGAAGGCAGCUCACUAAAGUGUAACUGACGCUGAGGGACGAAAGCGUGGGUAGCGAACAGGAUUAGAUACCCUGGUAGUCCACGCCGUAAACGAUGAUCACUAGAUGUUGGCGAUAUAUUGUCAGUAUCUAAGCGAAAGCAUUAAGUGAUCCACCUGGGGAGUACGGUCGCAAGAUUGAAACU